GUAGCUCAGUGGUAGAGCACUCCCUUGGUAAGGAAGAGGUGGAGAGUUCGAUCCCUUC
This 58-nucleotide transfer RNA is filed under the name Mesorhizobium sp. RNAcentral describes it as "tRNA-Thr". It matches the Rfam family "tRNA", at positions 7 to 64 of the family's 71-position model. Rfam says of the family: Transfer RNA (tRNA) molecules are approximately 80 nucleotides in length. Their secondary structure includes four short double-helical elements and three loops (D, anti-codon, and T loops). Lineage: Bacteria; Pseudomonadati; Pseudomonadota; Alphaproteobacteria; Hyphomicrobiales; Phyllobacteriaceae. The record is from RNAcentral.